AUGCAGUCGAGCGAACAGAUAAGGAGCUUGCUCCUUUGAAGUUAGCGGCGGACGGGUGAGUAACACGUGGGUAACCUACCUAUAAGACUGGAAUAACUUCGGGAAACCGGAGCUAAUGCCGGAUAACAUAUAGAACCGCAUGGUUCUAUAGUGAAAGAUGGUUUUGCUAUCACUUAUAGAUGGACCCGCGCCGUAUUAGCUAGUUGGUAAGGUAAUGGCUUACCAAGGCGACGAUACGUAGCCGACCUGAGAGGGUGAUCGGCCACACUGGAACUGAGACACGGUCCAGACUCCUACGGGAGGCAGCAGUAGGGAAUCUUCCGCAAUGGGCGAAAGCCUGACGGAGCAACGCCGCGUGAGUGAUGAAGGUUUUCGGAUCGUAAAACUCUGUUAUUAGGGAAGAACAAAUGCGUAAGUAACUGUGCGCAUCUUGACGGUACCUAAUCAGAAAGCCACGGCUAACUACGUGCCAGCAGCCGCGGUAAUACGUAGGUGGCAAGCGUUAUCCGGAAUUAUUGGGCGUAAAGCGCGCGUAGGCGGUUUCUUAAGUCUGAUGUGAAAGCCCACGGCUCAACCGUGGAGGGUCAUUGGAAACUGGGAAACUUGAGUGCAGAAGAGGAAAGUGGAAUUCCAUGUGUAGCGGUGAAAUGCGCAGAGAUAUGGAGGAACACCAGUGGCGAAGGCGACUUUCUGGUCUGUAACUGACGCUGAUGUGCGAAAGCGUGGGGAUCAAACAGGAUUAGAUACCCUGGUAGUCCACGCCGUAAACGAUGAGUGCUAAGUGUUAGGGGGUUUCCGCCCCUUAGUGCUGCAGCUAACGCAUUAAGCACUCCGCCUGGGGAGUACGACCGCAAGGUUGAAACUCAAAGGAAUUGACGGGGACCCGCACAAGCGGUGGAGCAUGUGGUUUAAUUCGAAAGCAACGCGAAGAACCUUACCAAAUCUUGACAUCCUUUGAAAACUCUAGAGAUAGAGCCUUCCCCUUUCGGGGGACAAAGUGACAGGUGGUGCAUGGGUUGUCGUCAGCUCGUGUCGUGAGAUGUUGGGUUAAGUCCCGCA
This 1059-nucleotide ribosomal RNA is filed under the name Staphylococcus succinus subsp. succinus. RNAcentral's name for it is "bacterial SSU rRNA". It matches the Rfam family "Bacterial small subunit ribosomal RNA", at positions 55 to 1091 of the family's 1533-position model. The record is from RNAcentral. Lineage: Bacteria; Bacillati; Bacillota; Bacilli; Caryophanales; Staphylococcaceae.